GACUACAGCCAUAUCACCCUGAAUACACACAGCUUUGUCUGAUCUCAGAAGCCAAGCAGGGUUGAGCCUGAUUAGCACUUAGAUGUGAGAAAGGUGCAGGCAAUAGAGGCGUUGUUUAUU
Molecule: ribosomal RNA, 120 nt
Filed under: Mesocricetus auratus (golden hamster)
Lineage: Eukaryota; Metazoa; Chordata; Mammalia; Rodentia; Cricetidae
Source: RNAcentral